This is a long non-coding RNA of Syngnathus typhle (broad-nosed pipefish), 4204 nucleotides long. RefSeq lists it as uncharacterized. The record is from RefSeq and is a predicted model, not a curated record. NCBI's taxonomy places the organism in Eukaryota, Metazoa, Chordata, Actinopteri, Syngnathiformes, Syngnathidae. The transcript has 2 exons.
CAAUCUGUCCGAGCCAGAUGAAUGCCAUGUGGUUAAUCCCAAAACUGCCAGAGAUACCUACAAGGUGGGCUCUGUAGAGGAUCUUGACAGAGGCAUGUCGGAAAUUCUUCCUGUCAUGAAAGAUGCAUAAAGCAAGAUAAAAUCAAGAUGGUGCUUUUUGCCUCAGGUGUGACAUGUGGGAUGGCGUAUCAUGACGAGAAGGAAUUCAGAAAAUGCAUGCACCCUGGAAAGACGCUCUUUGUUCUGAGCGCCGGUGGAACGGUUGACGGCAUCAAAGCGUGGCAGAGAGCUUCGCCGACCUGCGUGCUAAUGAGAGACAACCAUCCUGCGCCAAUGUGAUUACAAUUGCUUCAUUAAGAGGAUAAGCUGAUAUUGCGUCUUGAAACUUGAGUGCUAGCCACCGCCGCGGCGGCUGUGUUAAUGACUUUUGAUCCGAUACAAUGAAUUAUUAUGACGUCAAAAUAACUAGCCUACAAAAGCUGACAGAAAGUUCCAAGCUCAAGUUUUGCUUGGGGUGAGAACAUCCUGGAUGCAACAACGCUGACACUCUUCAUCAUCGCCUCCAGAGCUGUUCACUCAAAGCAGACAAAGAAAAAACAAAAGGGAUUUAGCAAUACAUGUCAGCAAAGCCAACUGAUGAUGAGAAACCGAACGGGGAGGAGUGUGAUUUUUAUUCUUUCGCGUUUGUGUGCCUCAAGCCUUUGCAAUUUCUACAUUUACAGCCUCUGCACAGUGUAUAUAUAAAAUUAUUGUUAUGGAUUAUGCUGUAAAACAGGGCAUUCUAAUUUAUCGUGGUUUAUGGUUAGAUUAAUUGCAUGACCUUUUAUAGGCACGUAUAAGCAGUGAAGAAGAAGGAAAAUACAAGACUGCAAUAAUAUAGCCGUUCCAAAUAUUUUCAAACUGAAUCGUUAAUGAUUAUCGGAUCAAAUUUGCUGACCUGGAAUAAGUGCGUUGCAAUUACACGAAACGUUUUGACAUUCGAACCCACAACAAAGCUUUUGUCUCCUUCACUCCUCCCUCUGAAAUGAUUUGAGUUGUCCAAUUAUAAUAAGCAAUGUUUUAUGGUAAUUCCAUUUCAAAAAUCCUGUUGCUAAAACAGAUAUUUAUCUCAAUUAUUCAUUAUUCCCAUACCCAAGAUGCAUAGGGCACAUCCCAUUUGCUCGAGGCUGUUCUUCCCCACAAGCGGAAAUAAUUGAAAUGUGGCAGAUGUUUAAUUAUUGCUAUUUCAAAACACAGCCAACCAUAAUGAAGAGUGUAUCUUACCUUGUAUGAAAAUCAUACAUUCAUUCACACUAUGUGUGGGUAAUUAUUUUGCUUGUAAUGAAUGGAGCAGUAAAUUAUAGAGCAGGUGAGUCAAAGGAGAGAAUAACCACGACAUGAAAAGCUGAGGUCGGAUGUUUCUUAUGAAGACGCUAGCAAGGAAACGUAUUACAAGUCAUAGAACAGUAGACCACACACAAUAUCACACAUGAAGAUGUACGAUAUGUGCAAAAGCCAGGUCACAUGAUGGAUCGGUGGCUGAGGUGCAGGACGACUUUUUCCAAAAGGAAACGUGCCGGCCUGAUAUGAUCUGGAAUUCUCCUAAUAACGAGAAUAAACGCAAGGGCACAGAGCUCAAAGGACACCAUCUAUUAUUCAUUUGAAGAUCUCAUGAAUAAAAAAUGAGAUUAUCCCACUCUAUAGGUUUUAAAACGGAAGCAAGAAAACUACUAUUAUCACUAAUUUUCCACUGUAUGGACAACAGUAUGUUCACAAAAUGUCAUAUUAAUAUUUAAUUUCAUUUAAGGGGGGAAAAAAAAAACAGGAAAGGGUUAAUGUCCUGUCAACGCAAAUAAAUAUCUCUGCAUGGAGCAGAAUGUGGACUGAACAAAAAAUGUGCCCACAUCAUCAGAUUUUUAAAAUAAGAUCUCACAAAAAAAAAUAACAGCAUGCAGAAAAUCAUCUGUGAUAAACACGUUUUACAAUUGUCUGUAACUUUUAUAAAACAACUGUGCGAUUGAAUGCCGUAAACUGUUUAUAAGUAACAUUUGCAAAUAAAUUAUACGUACUGGGUGAGCGUAGUCACAUUAAAUACUUCACUUUUUCCUUACUUGGAUAUUAAUCUCAGUUGCCUCAAAUAUGAUACACGGUGGAGUAUAAGAAAGUGCAUGACCCAGACUUCCCGCUCCAUUUGUUGCACGCUAUGUAUUUGACAUGUAGAAUUAAUACCGAUUAAAGGUGACAAACACUUUUAAGAUGUUCUGGCUACACUUGAGAAUGGACGAUUAGUAGAAGAGUAAACGAAAGACACUCAAACAUUACAUUCAAGUCAUCUUUAUGUAUCAUCCGGUUUUAUAAUGAGGUCACCGAUGCAACAUUUUCAUCUUCAUAGUAAUUGGCACUAAAAGACCCCAUAUAGGGGUCCAUCUGGCUUUCCCGUCCUGGUACUCUCAGCCUCCCUAGGCUGAAGCUGCUCGUUUAAUUAAAACAUACCAGGACUGUGACACUUUCAUUAGAGAAGCAGGUUGAGCCCGGCUGAAGUGAUAAGCAUGCCGAGAAAGAAAAGAGACCCAACAGAACUUUUGAGAGGCGGCCAUUGUUCAGCUGACAUGCCAGAAGAAUGAAUACAAACGAGCAAUAAGAGUUACCACCAAUAUCCUCUUGUGAUAUAACUGAAGAAAUACAACCGUCAAUAUAUCAUCGCUAGAACAUUUCAAGAAGAAAUUGCUGGCUUGGAGCUUUUUUCACAUUGUGAUUGAUUACAACUUCAAAAGGUACAGCUCACUGUGGAGCCACCAAACACGGUGGAAGGGUCGCUGGUCACCCUCAGGUUUGUUUGAAUUAGUCAUUGGAAACAGCGGGAACUGAAAUAGGGAAAAUAUUUACCACCCCAGUAUGUUUAUAUUACAAAAAAAAUAUUUAACCAAUCAAAGGUUAUCAUGCACUGCUUUGUUUUUACUAUGCAGUCUUAAUGAAGAUCACUUUUAAUUUGCUCGGCAAUCGGUCGGCUCGGUUAGCUUGUCAGUCCACACAUGGGAAGCCGAGACUCACCGUUACGCUUGAAACAUUUCCAGAGCAGCGACAGCCGCAUGUAUAGUCACGCCGUCAUGCCCUGCAGCUCUCUGCUCCACUCAUUAAGCGAGAACAUCCUGAAUUCGCCCGAGCCGCGGCAUACAUCUAUAUUGGAUGCACUGUCUGAAAAUGAAACACGAUUGUCAAAGUGGUUCGAUUGUUUUUUAAUUUAAAUUUUGGGGCAUGCUUUGUACUUGUAUGAGAGGCUUAGAUGCACAAAUGAAUUGCACAUAGGUGGGCUUUACAUUUCCAAGUGCAUAGGCAAAAGAUCGUUUUUAUUUCUUUGGCGAAUACGAUUACGGCCCACUUUACACUUCUUAUGUUCGCAUUUAUGUUGAACAACACACACUUGGGUUUAAAUGAAGCAUGACGAUGGUCUGUUGUGAACAUCCAAAUGUCCACCAUAUUGCGCUGGUUGACUAUCCCUUAUGUUCCACGUUGAUUUGUUUUAAAUCCACUUGGGUUAAACAGAUCACUCCUAAUUAGGAUUGCGGUUUAUUUUUAACUUGCCACAUUGUUGGUGCAUUCUAUUUUACAUGCUCAUAAAUUAGAAGUGCACUUGCCUAUGUUUCGGUGUUCCGCUGCUACAGCAACACUCCUUCAGUCAAGCAAGGUGCCGAGACGAGUCUCGCUGAAGUGCUUCUGGGUCUACACAUAGCAUUUAACAAAGCCUGAUGAAUAUUCAGACUUCUUUCAUCUGGCUAGGAAAAAAACCCUAGCAGCCAUUUUAGAAAAUAUAGCACAUAAUUAAGACACCUUGAACAAGGCCACUAAAGUCCACUGUUGUCUGAAGCCCCCAAGCUUGUCAUUAACUAAAUUACGGCAGAGCUCAAACUUUGAUUACUGCUACGGGGGUUGAAUGUAUGUUGAUCUAUGGCUGUGGGUGUGAAAGGGACAAGUCACAACGAAUAAAAAGUGUUUUGAGUAGUAAGUGCAUCAAGAGGUGCAUGAAAUACGGUAAUGUUUUGGGGUCAUAUAUUGGUGUAACUCUUCUUCACUAUUUGUUAUUUUGUUUUGCUGGCUCCACGUUUCUUUCCAACUGUGCUGUUGGCAGUUUUGUUAUUUCUUGAUUUUUGCUGGUGUACUAUGUACAGAUUUUGUGUUCAGAAAGGUUGGGUCUGUAUAUUUUUAAAAAAUAAAUGUGUGUAUGGCU